AAUUUUGGACAAUGGGGGAAACCCUGAUCCAGCCAUCCCGCGUGUAUGAUGAAGGCCUUCGGGUUGUAAAGUCCUUUUGGCAGAGAAGAUAAGGCAUCCCCUAAUACGGGAUGCUGCUGACCGUAUCUGCAGAGUAAGCACCGGAUAACUGCGUGCCCGAAGCAGCGGUAAUACGUAGGGUGCAAGCGUUAAUCGGAAUUACUGGACAUAAAGCGUGUGUAGGCGGUUCGAAAAGAAAGAUGUGAAAUCCCAGGGCUCAACCUUGGAACUGCAUUUUUAACUGCCGAGCUAGAGUAUGUCAGAGGGGGGUAGAAUUCCACGUGUAGCAGUGAAAUGCGUAGAUAUGUGGAGGAAUACCGAUGGCGAAGGCAGCCCCCUGGGAUAAUACUGACGCUCAGACACGAAAGCGUGGGGAGCAAACAGG
RNAcentral lists this ribosomal RNA (424 nucleotides) under uncultured bacterium. Its description in RNAcentral is "partial 16S ribosomal RNA". It matches the Rfam family "Bacterial small subunit ribosomal RNA", at positions 360 to 776 of the family's 1533-position model. The record is from RNAcentral.